AUAGGAGAAUCGAGCUCAAAGAGAGAUGUGUACAGCUUCGGCGUUGUUUUGCUGGAGCUCCUUACAGGUCGUAAAGGUUUCGAUCAUACCUUACCGUCUGAACAAAGAUUACUUGUGAAAUGGGUAACGUUUAAUGCAUCUUUUCUGCUUCAGAUUCUCAUUUGCUUAGCUUGUAUUAUACAUUGUUACUCACCUCACUCCAUAUAUUAAAAACGUUUAAAACCCUGAAAGAAAACUUUUCUUGUGUGUUAAUCAUCAUAUACAUUGUUAUUAUGUUGAUUAAUAAUCAUAAAGAUGUACCUUGUGUGUUAUCUAUCUUAGGCAACCCCUAAACUAAGCAAAGACAAAGUGGAGCAAUGCGUUGAUCCAACACUUCUCGGAGAGUGCCCUCCCAAAGAUGUUGCCAAGGUAUCGUAAUCCUAUAACAUUGAUAUAUUCCUCUCAUUGUUUCAUUGCAGCAUUAAAGUGUAUACUUAAAAGACUAAUUAAUUUAUCAUGCUGCCACUAUAAUCAAACGGUUAAUACGGUUAUGGUUAAUUAACCACCGGUUAACAGUUAUAAUUUUCUUUAACCAUAACCUUAACCAUUAUAUAUACGGUUAAGACGAUUCAGUUACGGUUUAUAAACAGUUAGAAAUACGGUUAAGGUUAGCUUUUGGUCAUGCCUAUAGUUUUGCCAAAACUAAAAAAAAGCGAUAUAUAGUGUUGGUCUGCAUUCAUCAUCUCUAAUCUCUAUGACAACUAAAAAACAUGAUCAUGAGUUUGAUUUUUAGUUGCUAAAUAUAUUAGUUAAGGAGGUGUGAUGUUUUGAUGCAGCUGGCCGCGAUAGCUGCAGUAUGUGUGAUUCAAGAAUCAGAUUAUAGACCAGACAUGGGCACUGUGGUGAAGCACUUGAAUCUCUUUUAAAACCUCCUUCAUCUGCAUCUGCUUCAAGAUGAUUAAUCAAAGUCUAUUAUUUAAUUUUUAUUUUGUUGUGUAAUUUUUUUAUACAUUUGUGGACCUUUGUCUCAUUAACUCUUCAUUUAAGUCUGCCUUUUUCAAGACCUGCGUAUAUGUUUAUAAAAUUAUCAUAUUUUAUUUUUCCUAUGAUGAUUAGUUGUUUGUGUAGGAUCGAAGAUAACUCAUUAGUCAUUUACUCAUUAAUCCUGAAUAAAGUGUAAAUCUUUUUCUUUUUUCUUUUUUGAAUAGAUAAUGAGCAAGAUUUGUAUGAUAAUCUUAUCGUUAAACAUAACAAUUUCAACAACAACUUAGAGAGAUUAAAUUUGUGAGACACAUGAGACACAUGAGACACGACUAAUAUACACAAUUAACAAUUUUCACAAACAUUAUUAAGUUUAAGAAUUAACAAUUUUCACAAACACUCUUUUAAUGAAAUAAUUUUUUUUUCUAAUGCACCGUGUUUAAGAAUUAAGAAUGCGCAUCUAGUUUGCAUUAUUUGUACGUUUAUCUAAUUAGAUUCGUAUUAUGAAAAAGUAACUAAUAAAUUUCAUUUUAUUGAGAUUGGGAUAUAUAUAGGUUUGGAACAUAAUAGACCCAUCAUCAUCAAAAUCUAUAAAUAUUUCAUAACUAAAUUAAAAAAUAUAUAUAUAUAGUCCCACGUCAAGGACAUAAAACCAUAGCCGUUAGAUUUAAGAUUUACGUGUUGAGAUUUAAUCUCCACCGUCGUUUAUUAAUUUCUUCAAUUUCCAUUUUUUUUUAAAGUAAUCUCUCUCUUUCUUUCUUCAGAGAGAUGCAGAGAGCAUUAUAUGCACAAACACACAGUAGCAGCAAAGCAAAAGCUCUGACUCACACUUCUACGUCUCUCUCUCCCUAAAUCUUCAUCAUUGAUUCGCCAUCGAAGGCUCUGCCGCAUUUAUAUCAUCUUCUUCUCACUCUCACUCUCAUCGGAAAACUUCUUUGAAGUUAUCGGAAUAGUUUUGUUCGUAUAUUGAUCUCUUUCGUUAUGCUAAACUAGAUUCACACGUUUGUUUUCUCCCAAAGCCGAGAUUCGCAUUUCGGCUUCUCGUUUCGAGGUAUUGCUUCUCCGGAUCUGAUUGCGAUCUCUCUGAUUUCUCGUUACUGAUUUUAGGAUUUCUUUGAGGGGUUUUUGUGCUGAGUAGCUUUCAAUGCCGAUUUGGUUUUUGAAUCUCAAGUUUCUCUGAUUGAUUUGUUUUUGGAAGUUUUCAGAUUUCGUCUUAUGGAAUCUCUGAAUCUGUUGCGUGUUGUGGGAUACUUCCCUGUAUUGUGACUAUCGAGGAAACUGCAUCUACGGUGAUUUUUUUUAUUUAGGCUUUGCGUUUUUUUUUUAACUUGAGAAGUGGGAGAGGAGGAAGAUGGCUAAGAUGAUAAACAAGACGCUUGUACUUACCUAUAUCUACUUACUGAUCUACAUUCUUCUCUCUUCUGGAGUUAUACUGUACAACAAGGUGAUUGCAAAUACUACUUUACCUUUCUGUAAUGUAUCUGAAUGUUUCUGCAGAUCUUUAUAUAGUUUGUGUAUCUGUUGAAUUUUGCAUGUCAUUGGCUUUAUGAACUUGAAGUUGAGGUUUGGA
RNAcentral lists this long non-coding RNA (2530 nucleotides) under Capsella grandiflora. RNAcentral describes it as "long non-coding RNA (CGRA_LNC000634)". Lineage: Eukaryota; Viridiplantae; Streptophyta; Magnoliopsida; Brassicales; Brassicaceae. The record is from RNAcentral.